GUGGACAGGGAAAGAAAGAAAACUUAGCAAGUUUAUCGUAACAAGUCUAUACUAAAUUCUAAAUUAAAUCUAAUGGUAAUAAGAAAGAGUCCCCGACAACAGCGCCAAAUUUGAUAUCCUCAAAUUACCCUAAAAGUGAAUUACUCUCUCAAAUAAGAGGUUCAGAUGCAGUACUUAGGGAUCGAAUCCACAAGGACUCUAGGAUUACUCAACAGAUCUAAGGUAUUAAAUAAAGAUAGACUAAGAGGUAUAUUUGUUUAAAAGCAGUAAAUGACGAGUCGAACAAGGUAAUUGUUCGGUGGUUUAAGUUGAAGUUGUUUUAAGGAUGGGAAAACAGCUAGACUUAGGCAAAUUCUCAGGUAUGAAAUGCAUGCAACUUAGUUUAGACUAAAUGAUUUGACGGUUUUUGAACUCAAACAAUGAUAAAACCAGAUGGGUUUUCUUUACUAGAUCUCGGAUCUCAACUGUCGUCUUUUGAUCACGAGAAAAA
Molecule: long non-coding RNA, 490 nt
Filed under: Brassica napus (rape)
Lineage: Eukaryota; Viridiplantae; Streptophyta; Magnoliopsida; Brassicales; Brassicaceae
Description: long non-coding RNA (BNAP_LNC010915)
Source: RNAcentral